AGAAUCAACGCUGGCGGCGUGCCUAACACAUGCAAGUCGCACGAGAAAGGGGAGCAAUCCCUGAGUACAGUGGCGCACGGGUGAGUAACACGUGAAUGAUCUACCUCCGAGUGGGGAAUAACUGAGAGAAAUCUUAGCUAAUACCGCAUAAUACCCACGGGUCAAAGCAGUAAUGCGCUUGGAGAGGAGUUCGCGGCAGAUUAGUUAGUUGGCGGGGUAAUGGCCCACCAAGACGAUGAUCUGUAUCCGGCCUGAGAGGGCGCACGGACACACUGGAACUGAAACACGGUCCAGACUCCUACGGGAGGCAGCAGUGGGGAAUUUUGCGCAAUGGGGGAAACCCUGACGCAGCAACGCCGCGUGGAGGAUGAAGCCCCUUGGGUGUAAACUCCUUUCGAUCGGGAAGAUAAUGACGGUACCGAUAUAAGAAGCCCGGCUAACUUCGUGCCAGCAGCCGC
RNAcentral lists this ribosomal RNA (458 nucleotides) under uncultured bacterium. RNAcentral describes it as "SSU rRNA". It matches the Rfam family "Bacterial small subunit ribosomal RNA", at positions 26 to 518 of the family's 1533-position model. The record is from RNAcentral.